CUACAAUGGCGUAAACAAAGGGAAGCGAAGGCGUGAGCGUAAGCAAAACCCAAAAAUAAACGUCCCAGUUCGGAUUGUAGUCUGCAACCCGACUACAUGAAGCUGGAAUCGCUAGUAAUCGCGGAUCAGAAUGCCGCGGUGAAUACGUUCCCGGGUCUUGUACACACCGCCCGUCACACCAUGAGAGUCGGGAACACCCGAAGUCCGUAGCCUAACUGCAAAGGGGGCGCGGCCGAAGGUGGGUUCGAUAAUUGGGGUGAAGUCGUAACAAGGUAUC
Molecule: ribosomal RNA, 277 nt
Filed under: uncultured bacterium
Lineage: Bacteria
Description: partial 16S ribosomal RNA
Rfam family: Bacterial small subunit ribosomal RNA
Source: RNAcentral